GGGGAUAUAACUCAGUUGGUAGAGUAUAUGCUUUGCAAGCAUGAGGUCAAGAGUUCGAAUCUCUUUAUCUCCUU
RNAcentral lists this transfer RNA (74 nucleotides) under Macrocystis pyrifera (giant kelp). Its description in RNAcentral is "tRNA-Ala". It matches the Rfam family "tRNA". From Rfam's summary of the family: Transfer RNA (tRNA) molecules are approximately 80 nucleotides in length. Their secondary structure includes four short double-helical elements and three loops (D, anti-codon, and T loops). The record is from RNAcentral. Lineage: Eukaryota; Phaeophyceae; Laminariales; Laminariaceae.